AUGACACGUGGUUGACGCGGGCCGCGUAACCCCUGUCCUUUCUUUACGCGGGCCGCGUGGGAACCAGUUUCAGCAACUAUAAAUAGAGGCCAUCGGAUUUCAUUUGGAAUUCGCUCACGAACGUUUUCUUCUCUCAAAUCUGAAUAUUAGGCAUAAUACUCGGGUAUUAUACCCCCCUAAUUAGCAAAGCUCUGCCUCGUUACUAUAACCAGGGAAUCACAAAGGAAAGCCUUAUAAUAG
Molecule: long non-coding RNA, 240 nt
Filed under: Helianthus annuus (common sunflower)
Lineage: Eukaryota; Viridiplantae; Streptophyta; Magnoliopsida; Asterales; Asteraceae
Description: sRNA HanXRQr2_Chr10g0428021
Source: RNAcentral